Molecule: long non-coding RNA, 334 nt
Filed under: Elaeis guineensis (African oil palm)
Lineage: Eukaryota; Viridiplantae; Streptophyta; Magnoliopsida; Arecales; Arecaceae
Description: long non-coding RNA (EGUI_LNC080094)
Source: RNAcentral
AGCCGAACUUCUACCGCAAGCAGUCUACUCUGAACUUCUACUGCAAGCGAUCUACUCCGGAUCUCUACUGUAAGCGAAUUCCAUCCGAACUUCUAUUACAGGCAGACUUCAGUCGAGCUUCUUCAAUAAGCGAUCUCUAUCCGAACUUCUACAAGAACCGAACUCCGUCUGAACUUCCAUAGUGGAUGGAUUUCGGAUGAAUUUCUACAACGAACGGGCUCCAGCAGCUGGAUUUCUACAACGACCGACCGCCUUCAGUGUCUGUCAUACCUCUCCAACCAUCAACCUUCAAUAGCAUCAGUCGGACUUCAACAAUACCAACCAGACUUCCACA